CAGUACGGUCGGAAAUCGUACGUAGAGUGUAAAGGCAAAAGAGAGCUUGAUUGCAAGACAUACAGGUCGAGCAAGGAUGAAAAUCGGACUUAGUGAUCCGGUGGUUCUGCGUGGAAGGGCCAUCGCUCAACGGAUAAAAGCUACCCUGGGGAUAACAGGCUUAUCUCCCCCAAGAGUCCACAUCGACGGGGAGGUUUGGCACCUCGAUGUCGGCUCAUCACAUCCUGGGGCUGUAGUAGGUCCCAAGGGUUGGGCUGUUCGCCCAUUAAAGUGGUACGCGAGCUGGGUUCAGAACGUCGUGAGACAGUUCGGUCCCUA
RNAcentral lists this ribosomal RNA (318 nucleotides) under Clostridioides difficile. RNAcentral's name for it is "bacterial LSU rRNA". It matches the Rfam family "Bacterial large subunit ribosomal RNA", at positions 2323 to 2640 of the family's 2925-position model. The record is from RNAcentral. Lineage: Bacteria; Bacillati; Bacillota; Clostridia; Peptostreptococcales; Peptostreptococcaceae.